GACGAACGCUGUCGGCGUGCUUAACACAUGCAAGUCGAACGGAAAGGCCCUGCUUUUGUGGGGUGCUCGAGUGGCGAACGGGUGAGUAACACGUGAGUAACCUGCCCUUGACUUUGGGAUAACUUCAGGAAACUGGGGCUAAUACCGGAUAGGAGCUCCUGCUGCAUGGUGGGGGUUGGAAAGUUUCGGCGGUUGGGGAUGGACUCGCGGCUUAUCAGCUUGUUGGUGGGGUAGUGGCUUACCAAGGCUUUGACGGGUAGCCGGCCUGAGAGGGUGACCGGCCACAUUGGGACUGAGAUACGGCCCAGACUCCUACGGGAGGCAGCAGUGGGGAAUAUUGCACAAUGGGCGGAAGCCUGAUGCAGCAACGCCGCGUGCGGGAUGACGGCCUUCGGGUUGUAAACCGCUUUCGCCUGUGACGAAGCGUGAGUGACGGUAAUGGGUAAAGAAGCACCGGCUAACUACGUGCCAGCAGCCGCGGUGAUACGUAGGGUGCGAGCGUUGUCCGGAUUUAUUGGGCGUAAAGGGCUCGUAGGUGGUUGAUCGCGUCGGAAGUGUAAUCUUGGGGCUUAACCCUGAGCGUGCUUUCGAUACGGGUUGACUUGAGGAAGGUAGGGGAGAAUGGAAUUCCUGGUGGAGCGGUGGAAUGCGCAGAUAUCAGGAGGAACACCAGUGGCGAAGGCGGUUCUCUGGGCCUUUCCUGACGCUGAGGAGCGAAAGCGUGGGGAGCGAACAGGCUUAGAUACCCUGGUAGUCCACGCUGUAAACGGUGGGUACUAGGUGUGGGGUCCAUUCCACGGGUUCCGUGCCGUAGCUAACGCUUUAAGUACCCCGCCUGGGGAGUACGGCCGCAAGGCUAAAACUCAAAGGAAUUGACGGGGCCCCGCACAAGCGGCGGAGCAUGCGGAUUAAUUCGAUGCAACGCGUAGAACCUUACCUGGGUUUGACAUGGAUCGGGAGUGCUCAGAGAUGGGUGUGCCUCUUUUGGGGUCGGUUCACAGGUGGUGCAUGGCUGUCGUCAGCUCGUGUCGUGAGAUGUUGGGUUAAGUCCCGCAACGAGCGCAACCCUUGUUCACUGUUGCCAGCACGUUAUGGUGGGGACUCAGUGGAGACCGCCGGGUCAACUCGGAGGAAGGUGGGGAUGACGUCAAGUCAUCAUGCCCCUUAUGUCCAGGGCUUCACGCAUGCUACAAUGGCUGGUACAGAGAGUGGCGAGCCUGUGAGGGUGAGCGAAUCUCGGAAAGCCGGUCUCAGUUCGGAUUGGGGUCUGCAACUCGACCUCAUGAAGUCGGAGUCGCUAGUAAUCGCAGAUCAGCAACGCUGCGGUGAAUACGUUCCCGGG
This 1342-nucleotide ribosomal RNA is filed under the name uncultured bacterium. RNAcentral's name for it is "16S ribosomal RNA". It matches the Rfam family "Bacterial small subunit ribosomal RNA", at positions 28 to 1378 of the family's 1533-position model. The record is from RNAcentral.